GAUGAAGAACGCAGCGAAAUGCGAUACUUGGUGUGAAUUGCAGAAUCCCGUGAACCAUCGAGUAUUUGAACGCAAGUUGCGCCCGAAGCCAUUAGGCCGAGGGCACGCCUGCCUGGGCGUCACACGUCGUUGCCCCCCCAUCUACUCCUUCGGGAUUGCGGGGGGCGGAUGAUGGCCUCCCGUGCGCCUCGCCGCGCGGUUGGCAUAAAUGCCAAGUCCUCGGCGACGCACGCCACGACAAUCGGUGGUUGCGAAACCUCGGUUGCCCGUCGUGUGCGGUCGUCGCGCAUCGAGGGCUCGAAAAAAUUGCCGGGUUCCGGCUCGGCUUUCAACGCGACCCCAGGUCAGGCGGGGUUACCCGCUGAAUUUAAGCAUAUCAAUAAGCGGAGGA
This 391-nucleotide unclassified non-coding RNA is filed under the name soil metagenome. Its description in RNAcentral is "partial contains 5.8S ribosomal RNA, internal transcribed spacer 2, and large subunit ribosomal RNA". The stretch from base 1 to 122 matches the Rfam family "5.8S ribosomal RNA", at positions 35 to 154 of the family's 154-position model. The record is from RNAcentral.